ACGCUCGACACCUACGGGAGGCAGCAGUGGGGAAUAUUGCACAAUGGGGGAAACCCUGAUGCAGCGACGCCGCGUGAGCGAAGAAGUAUUUCGGUAUGUAAAGCUCUAUCAGCAGGGAAGAUAAUGACGGUACCUGACUAAGAAGCUCCGGCUAAAUACGUUCCAGCAGCCGCGGUAAUCUGAGCGGGCUGGCAAGGC
Molecule: ribosomal RNA, 198 nt
Filed under: uncultured bacterium
Lineage: Bacteria
Description: partial 16S ribosomal RNA
Rfam family: Bacterial small subunit ribosomal RNA
Source: RNAcentral